GUUGCCCAGAGAUGGUCACCCAAGAGGGGGGUGAAUUGGGUGUUUUAAGAUUUUUUGUCUAAUUAAAAAUAAAACACACAAGUGUAUGUGCUAAAGUAAAGAUAGAGGUAUAAGAAUAGUCAAUCGCAAACACAAGGUUUUAUAGUGGUUCGGAGCUUCCACUGCUCCUACAUCCACUCCCCAAACACCUUUGGGAAUUUCCACUAUAAUCAACGAUUACAGUACGGUAGUUUUGCGAGUGCACUACCCAACUCGUUGUUUUACACCGGAAUAACAACGAACCCUACAAUCCCCCAAUUUAACCUAGGCUUGGGACGCCUAUCCCUUGUUCCAAGUCCCUUGACUGGAACAAGCACAAUAAUCAAUGUUUUACAAAAGAUUUGAAAGCUCUUAAGAAGCAAAUAUAACAAUGAGAAAUAAUGAAACCCGGAAGAACCCUUUUAGCCGUUGGAAGCGUGGGAAAUGGUGGUUCUUCCGAUGUGGAUCGCGUUGGCUUGAAU
RNAcentral lists this long non-coding RNA (500 nucleotides) under Phoenix dactylifera (date palm). Its description in RNAcentral is "long non-coding RNA (PDAC_LNC004022)". Lineage: Eukaryota; Viridiplantae; Streptophyta; Magnoliopsida; Arecales; Arecaceae. The record is from RNAcentral.